This 1907-nucleotide ribosomal RNA is filed under the name human gut metagenome. RNAcentral describes it as "bacterial LSU rRNA". It matches the Rfam family "Bacterial large subunit ribosomal RNA", at positions 66 to 1990 of the family's 2925-position model. The record is from RNAcentral.
GAAAGAUACGCAUCGUGCAGCCUGGUGUACUUGCCCACGAUGGCGAUGUUCACGCUGCGCCUGCGCGCGGCGAUGCGGGCCAACAUCUCGUUCCAGUCGGUCAGGGCCAACCCUCUGAACUGAAACAUCUUAGUAGGAGGAGGAAAAGAAAGAAACAUCGAUUUCCUAAGUAGCGGCGAGCGAACGGGAAACAGCCUAAACCACAAUUGUUACGGCAACUGUGGGGUUGUAGGACUGCAAUAUUCAAAUGACUGUGAACUGGAAUGUUCUGGAAAGUUCAUCCAUAGAGAGUGAAAGACUCGUACAGGCAAGCACGUCAGGCGAUAGCAGUAUCCUGAGUAGGGCGGGACACGAGGAAUCCUGUCUGAAUCCGCCGGGACCACCCGGUAAGGCUAAAUACUCCCAAGAGACCGAUAGUGAACCAGUACCGUGAGGGAAAGGUGAAAAGAACCCCGAACAGGGGAGUGAAAUAGAACCUGAAACCAUACGCUUACAACCUGUCGGAGCGGCUUCGUGCCGUGACGGCGUGCCUAUUGAAUAAUGAGCCUACGAGUUACUAAUCACUGGCAAGGUUAAGUGCACGGAUGCACGGAGCCGAAGCGAAAGCGAGUCUGAAUAGGGCGUUUAGUCAGUGGUUGUAGACGCGAAACCUUGCGAUCUACCCUUGAGCAGGUUGAAGGUUGGGUAAAACCAACUGGAGGACCGAACGAAUAAGCGUUGAAAAGCUUCUCGAUGACUUGAGGGUAGGGGUGAAAGGCUAAUCAAGCUGGGAAAUAGCUCGUACUCCCCGAAAUGCCUUUUGGGGCAGCGUUGUAAUAAAGAGUCUACUGGAGGUAGAGCUACUGAUUGGAUGCGGGGGCUUCACCGCCUACCAAAUCCUGACAAACUCCGAAUGCCAGUAGUAUGAUUUACAGCAGUGAGUGACUGGGUGCUAAUGUCCAGUCGCAAAAGAGGAACAACUCAGACCAGCAACUAAGGUCCCGAAGAAUAUGCUAAGUUGAUCUAACGAUGUUUUGUUGCAGAGACAGCUAGGAUGUUAGCUUGGAAGCAGCUAUUCAUUCAAAGAGUGCGUAACAGCUCACUAGUCGAGCGACAGAGCGUGGAUAAUAAACGGGCAUCAAGCAUAUCACCGAAGUUCUGGGCGCGAGAGCGCGGUAGGGGAGCAUUCCAUUCAGCGUCGAAGCAGUUUCGUGAGGAAUUGUGGAGCGUAUGGAAAAGCAAAUGUAGGCAUGAGUAACGAUAAUGCGGGAGAGUAACCCGCACACCGCAAGACCAAGGUUUCCUGAUCAACGCUAAUCGGAUCAGGGUUAGUCGGGUCCUAAGGGUAAGCCGAACGGCGAUCUCGAUGGAUAAUCGGUUAAUAUUCCGAUACUAACAUAUACCUCGAUGGAGAGACGAAGGAACGUAAGUGCCGCCACCUGACGGAAUAGGUGGUUAAAGGGCGUAGGUAUAGGGGCAGAUUAAGAGUUAGUCCUUGCUGAAACCUGACAGUACAGAGAGCCUACGGGCAAUUUGAUAGAGCACCCAAGUCGACUUCCGAGAAAAUCUUCUAAGUUAUAGUAUAUGUUACCCGUACCGUAAACCGACACAGGUGGUCGAGGAGAGUAUCCUAAGGUGCUCGAGUGAAUCACGGUUAAGGAACUAGGCAAAUUAACCCCGUAACUUCGGGAAAAGGGGUCCCUAUGAAAGUAGGGCGCAGCGAAGAGGUCCAGGCGACUGUUUAUCAAAAACACAGGGCUCUGCAAAUUCGAAAGAAGACGUAUAGGGCCUGACACCUGCCCGGUGCUGGAAGGUUAAGAGGGGAUGUCAUCGCAAGAGAAGCAUUGAAUCGAAGCCCCAGUAAACGGCGGCCGUAACUAUAACGGUCCUAAGGUAGCGAAAUUCCUUGUCGGGUAAGUUCCGACCUG